Molecule: long non-coding RNA, 510 nt
Organism: Suricata suricatta (meerkat)
Lineage: Eukaryota; Metazoa; Chordata; Mammalia; Carnivora; Herpestidae
Exons: 3
Source: RefSeq, a predicted model, not a curated record
GGCGCAAUAGAGAUACGUUGACUUACGCGCGUUUCAGAAGCUAUAAAUAAAGAUGCCUUGGCGGUUGCUCGCUCUUUUCGAGAAAGGACGCCGUCGUCGUUUGGGCUUGCGGUUGCUCAGGAAUCCAGAUAAUUGGAUGUGGGGAUCGAAGAGGAGCCUCACCUAACAUGGGCAGUUGACACCUUGGGGUACUUUACUUGGCAGGGAGAGUUGGAAAAGUGGGUGACAGAUGCUCUUUUUGUGAGUUAAGUGUGGAGGUUUAGAGUCUUGAGCACAUAGGACUCCUAUUUAAAACUACCCUUUGGAGAAAAUUGAGGAACAGUAGGGAUUUUAAGUUUGAGAGAGCAAGUGUGUGGGAAGGAUGGAUAGAGAAUCCCAAACAGGCUCCACCCCUGUCCACACAGCCUCAACUGAGAUCAUGACCUGAGCGGAAAUCAAGAGUCUGAGGCACCCUGAUACGUGUGUUUCUGAUGUAUUUAUGGAUUACAAUAAAGGUGACUAAUCUGCAUA